Callorhinchus milii (elephant shark) is the source of this 1240-nucleotide long non-coding RNA. RefSeq lists it as uncharacterized. Lineage: Eukaryota; Metazoa; Chordata; Chondrichthyes; Chimaeriformes; Callorhinchidae. The transcript is spliced from 4 exons. The record is from RefSeq and is a predicted model, not a curated record.
ACUGUGGAAGGCUACCCAGAACUUGUCCAUAUCUCUCUCUGUGCAGAGCAGCCUGCGAAGGGUGGGGGCUAUCUCUGUGACCAGUGGGGGUGGAGUUCGAAACACAUAAAGGAAAGAUGUAACUCUGAAAGAGUUGGAGUUGUGUAGAGGGUCAGCACACCUCCCAGUGGAAUCGAUAUUGAUUCUCCUGCAUCUAUGUAUAUGUACAGGGGUGAGGGAAUUUACUUUCAGUAAGAAAGUGACCAUUAAAAGUGGAAGAGGAGGAGUAGUGAGGUCCUCAAGGAAGCAGGACUUUCUCCAGUGGGAGUGAUGGUGGAUUUUGGGAGUUCUAAGAGCUAUUGCCAUUGCCCAGAGUCAAAUCAGCUCAAAGAUUUACCUGAUGCAUCGAUCGUGAAUCUUUCCAUUCUAGACUUUUGAUGGGCUGUGGAUUUUUUUCAUCUCGGAGGGUCACAUGCCUCCUUCUGGUCAGAUUGUAUAUAAACUAAGAGAACAAGGAAAACAAAUAAGUAAAAAGUUUGAAGGUACAGUCGGUACCAAAGGACUGGGAAUAAUAUAGGCUGCAGAGCCUAGAAAGAAACUGCUAAACGAAAAUGAGAGAAAGAGGAAGCAACCUUGCAAAUGAGAAGAUGCAAGCUAGGCCUUAAGAAAAGAAUGGCAAGGAUCAUGCUAUUGGCUUUGGCUCAAGAGAGACUAGUUUCUGGAAUAAAGAUCGAAUCAGGCUCGGAACAAGGGAAGAUGGAGUUCAGCCAUAAUGUUAGCGGAUAUGGACUGAAUUGCAUUAACUCUUACCAGAGUACAGCUUUCCAAGUGAACAUUAUUCACGUUUAUCCCUUGGUAGUGUGCAUCAGAAGUUAUGGCAGGCAUCACCCUUGAACCAACCCUGCUUUUGCCCAAUAUUCAUGCCUACUUUCUACAGUAGCAGGAGUCCCAGGAAAGUGAUCAGCGUCAGGAUUCCUAUCAGAUCUUUUUACCUCAUAGAAAGAAAGAAGAAAUAACUUGUAUUAUUUUACACCUCCUUAUCGUGUUGAAACAGCUCAAAGUGUUAGCCAACCUCAGUCCUCAGUUGAUAGCACUCUUGCCUCUGAAGACUGGAUUCAAGCUCCAUGUCCAAACUUUGAAUUCAUAUAGUCCAAUUGACACCUGUGUCUAACACCCAACUGACCAAAACAAAGAGUGAGAUCAGAUUAUACUAUCUAUAGAAGUGCAACUAUAAGCUAAAUUCCUAUCUAACAGAGAAGGA